CGCACUGUUCGCACCCUUGCCUCCCCCUCUCCAUCGAGCCCAGACCCCCAGGUGGAGCAUCACCACCAGGAUUAGGGCCUAGAUAAACCAGAGAUGCAUGUUAGCUACCGCUGGGGAGAUGCAGACACACGUACAUACACAGACACAGCCGUCCACACACAGCCACAGCCGUCCACACACAUAGCCCACAUACAGCCACAGCCAUAUACACACACAGCCACAGCUGUCCACACACAGACACAGCCGCACACUGAGCCAUUCACACACAGCUGCACACACAGCCACAGCCGUCCACACACACAGCCCACAUACAGCCACAGCCAGCCACACACACAGCUGCACACACAGCCACAGCCGUCCGCACACAUAGCCUCACAUACAGCCACAUACAGGCACAGCCAGCCACACACACAGCUGCACACACACCCGCAACCGUCCGCACACACAGCCACAGCCAUCCACACACAGCCACAGCCACACCGUCCGCACACACAGCUGCACACAGCCACAGCCGUCCACACGCAUAGCCUCACACCCAUCCACAAUCAUCUGCACACACAGCCUCACAUACAGCCACAACCAGCCACACAAACACACACAGAGAGCCAUCCACACACAGGCACAGCCAUACACACACACCGCACACACAGCCACAGCCGUCCACACACAGACGCACACACAGCCACAGCCAUCCACACACACAGCUGCACACACAGCCACAGCCGUCCGCACACACAGCCGCACACACAGUCACAACCGUCUGCACACACAGCCACAGCCAUUGAAAUACACAGUCACAGCCAUCCACACACACAGCUACAGCUGUCCAUGCAGCUGUUCACACACACAGCCACAGCCAUCCACACACACAGACCCACACACAGCCACAGCCGUCCGCAUACACCGCCACAGCCAUUGAAAUACACAGCCAACCACACACACAGGCACAGCCAUCCACACACAUAGGCAUCUGCACACACAGCCGCAACCGUCCAUACAGCUGUCCACAACACAGGCAUCCACACACACAGCCACAGCCGUCCAUACAAGCAUCCACACACAGCCACAGCCAGCCGUUCACACACACUGC
This 1090-nucleotide long non-coding RNA is filed under the name Gopherus agassizii (Agassiz's desert tortoise). RNAcentral's name for it is "lncRNA (ENSGAGG00000013664.1)". The record is from RNAcentral. Lineage: Eukaryota; Metazoa; Chordata; Testudines; Testudinidae.